RNAcentral lists this ribosomal RNA (498 nucleotides) under uncultured bacterium. Its description in RNAcentral is "partial 16S ribosomal RNA". It matches the Rfam family "Bacterial small subunit ribosomal RNA", at positions 30 to 523 of the family's 1533-position model. The record is from RNAcentral.
AUUGAACGCUGGCGGCAUGCCUUACACAUGCAAGUCGAACGGUAACAGGUCUUCGGAUGCUGACGAGUGGCGAACGGGUGAGUAAUACAUCGGAACGUGCCUAGUAGUGGGGGAUAACUACUCGAAAGAGUGGCUAAUACCGCAUGAGAUCUACGGAUGAAAGCAGGGGAUCGCAAGACCUUGUGCUACUAGAGCGGCCGAUGGCAGAUUAGGUAGUUGGUGGGAUAAAAGCUUACCAAGCCGACGAUCUGUAGCUGGUCUGAGAGGACGAUCAGCCGACCUGGGACUGGGACACGGCCCAGACUCCUACGGGAGGCAGCAGUGGGGAAUUUUGGACAAUGGGCGGAAGCCUGAUCCAGCAAUGCCGCGUGCAGGAUGAAGGCCUUCGGGUUGUAAACUGCUUUUGUACGGAACGAAAAGCCCCGGGUUAAUACCCUGGGGUCAUGACGGUACCGUAAGAAUAAGCACCGGCUAACUACGUGCCAGCCGCCGCCGUAA